UGUCAUAAGAUUUCCCAAAAAUCAAUAUCAAUGAAGAGGGUGUUGAAACCAAGGAAACAUUUGAGGGCAUUCCAUAACUUUUUCCCCUUCAAGCAAUAUCACAGACAACCUUCCAUCCAAAGUAAACAAAAUUGAAACCCAUUUUUGAGAGUUGUUGGUGCCUCAUCCUAUAACUAACGACAACGUUAGGAAAUUCGGAGACGUCGUCGGAGGCCCCGGGAAGACCUAUCUUUUAUUUUUAACAACUUUCCCACCCUGAAUUAGGCUCAAUCGGAGAUAGGGUCCAACAGCUGGAAGAGAAUCACAUGUCUUGCGGUGUCCGAUGCACCCUCGACGGCCCUUGAAAAUAUGGAGGACCGAGUACCAUCCAUGCGCGGUCGUACUCAUAACCGCAUCAAGUCUCCAAGGUGAACAACCUCU
Non-coding RNA from Picea glauca (white spruce), 420 nucleotides. NCBI's taxonomy places the organism in Eukaryota, Viridiplantae, Streptophyta, Pinopsida, Pinales, Pinaceae. The record is from Rfam.